Long non-coding RNA from Lynx canadensis (Canada lynx), 337 nucleotides. RefSeq lists it as uncharacterized. The record is from RefSeq and is a predicted model, not a curated record. Lineage: Eukaryota; Metazoa; Chordata; Mammalia; Carnivora; Felidae. The transcript is spliced from 3 exons.
CGGGGGUGCGGCUGGCUGGGAAGCACCUGCCCCUUUGCCUUCGAAUCCUCUGCAUCCUGGUUGGCCCCCAGUAAAUGUUUCUCUGACCAGACUCUGAGCCUCAUCCCCAGGCACCGGGGCGUCUCAGCUCACAAUGAAGGGAGCAAAGUGUCGCCUUGGAAUCCUACAGAGCCUUUUCCAGGAGGCUGAAAACAAACUGCCGGAGAGUUGCUGCUAGUGGCUCACAGCUGCCCCUUCACCGGAGGGAGGAGAGCUGCCCCACCCCGAAGGCCGCACCAGCUGGGCGAGCUGCGGCCAGUGGCUGGCGGAUGUGGUGGUACAACAGGCACCCCUAGAC